CCUACGGGAGGCAGCAGUGGGGAAUAUUGCACAAUGGGGGAAACCCUGAUGCAGCGACGCCGCGUGAGUGAAGAAGUAAUUCGUUAUGUAAAGCUCUAUCAGCAGGGAAGAAAAUGACGGUACCUGAGUAAUACGCCCCGGCUAACUACGUGCCAGCAGCCGCGGUCAUACGUAGGGGGCAAGCGUUAUCCGGAUUUACUGGGUGUAAAGGGAGCGUAGACGGCAGUGCAAGUCUGGGGUGAAAGGCGGUGGCUCAACCACAGGACUGCUCUGGAAACUGUACGGCUGGAGUGCAGGAGAGGUAAGUGGAAUUCCUGGUGUAGCGGGGAAAUGCGUAGAUAUUAGGAGGAACACCAGUGGCGAAGGCGGCUUACUGGACUGUAACUGACGUUGAGGCUCGAAAUCGUGGGGAGCAAACAGGAUUAGAUACCCCAGUAGUC
This 440-nucleotide ribosomal RNA is filed under the name uncultured bacterium. Its description in RNAcentral is "partial 16S ribosomal RNA". It matches the Rfam family "Bacterial small subunit ribosomal RNA", at positions 338 to 795 of the family's 1533-position model. The record is from RNAcentral.